Molecule: small nuclear RNA, 160 nt
Organism: Onychomys torridus (southern grasshopper mouse)
Lineage: Eukaryota; Metazoa; Chordata; Mammalia; Rodentia; Cricetidae
Product: U1 spliceosomal RNA
Exons: 1
Source: RefSeq, a predicted model, not a curated record
ACACCUUCCGGGGAGGGGAGAUGCCACCACGAUCAUGGAGAGGUUUUUCCCAGGAUGAUGCUUAUUCUUUGUACGCUGGAUGCACUGACCCCUGCGAUUUCCUCAAAUGGGGGAAGCUCGACUAUAUAAUUUCUGGCAGUGUGUUUGGGUUCUCCCUUAA